UACCCUAAACAGAACUGCGGGGUCAAAUCGAAUCAAAUCAAAUAGUUCUUUAUUUAUCAUUGCAUUUUUACAAUAUAAAUAGUGUCAUAAAAUAAUAAAAUAGUUAACAAUAAUUCACAAUAAUCAGUUGAGAAAGCUUUGUGUGGAAUGAGGACUAAUAGAAAUUGAAUAUCUUUUCACUUCAUUUUUGAAAAUCGCACCAUCCUUCUCUUUGAUAUUAAUUGGUAGCUGGUUGAAGAACUUAGCUCCCAUGUAGGAAGGACGUUUCUCAAAGAAUUGUCUUCUAUGUUGUUGAAGUGCAUACGUUCUUCUUGAGCGUGUAUUAUAUUGAUGAUUGACAUAUCCUUCAUUUUUAAAUUUUAGAGUCAGAAUGCAUUCUGAUGCUUUCAGGGGGUGAAAUUUCCAUUGCUGAAACAAGUGUCAACUCAGCGGUUCCACACCUUCAGCAGAGGGGAUGAUAAAGAUGCGCACUUUCGAUCAAGUUACUGAGGACAGUAGAUAGAAUUGAUAUGGUGUUUUGUUACAAUGCUAUGGAGGGUAAUGGUGGAUGAGUGAGGGAUGACACUAGCAGGACAAUAGGAAUCGCGUUUGAGAGAACUGAAAUGCAUUUCAAAUCAUGUUACUGAGGACAGUGGAUAAAAUUGAUAUGGUGUUUUGUUACCAUGCUAUGGAGGGUAAUGGUGGAUGAGUGAGGGAUGACACUAACAGGACAAUAAGAAUCGCGUUCGAGAGAACUGAAAUGCAUUCUAAGCUAGUAUUUCAUCUUAGCCAAGUAUUCAAGUUUAUGAAACUACUGUCUGUAAGACAGGCAUUACGAUGUAAGGAAAUACAGUUGUAGCAAAUAAUAUUAUAUCUUUGAUAAAUAAAAUUAAUUUGAAUUUAUUCGAA
Long non-coding RNA from Nilaparvata lugens (brown planthopper), 888 nucleotides. RefSeq lists it as uncharacterized. The transcript has 3 exons. The record is from RefSeq and is a predicted model, not a curated record. Lineage: Eukaryota; Metazoa; Arthropoda; Insecta; Hemiptera; Delphacidae.